UCUCCGUUGGUGAACCAGCGGAGGGAUCAUUACAGAGUUGCAAAACUCCCUAAACCAUUGUGAACGUUACCUAAACCGUUGCUUCGGCGGGCGGCCCGGGUCCUUCCCGGCGCCCCCCGGCCCUCGCGGGCGCCCGCCGGAGGUAAACCAAACUAUUGCAUUAAUGGCCUCUCUGAGUCUUCUGUACUGAAUAAGUCAAAACUUUCAACAACGGAUCUCUUGGUUCUG
Molecule: unclassified non-coding RNA, 228 nt
Filed under: uncultured fungus
Lineage: Eukaryota; Fungi
Also listed under: 1 other name
Description: partial contains small subunit ribosomal RNA, internal transcribed spacer 1, and 5.8S ribosomal RNA
Source: RNAcentral